RNAcentral lists this ribosomal RNA (254 nucleotides) under Clostridioides difficile. Its description in RNAcentral is "partial 23S ribosomal RNA". It matches the Rfam family "Bacterial large subunit ribosomal RNA", at positions 1139 to 1401 of the family's 2925-position model. Lineage: Bacteria; Bacillati; Bacillota; Clostridia; Peptostreptococcales; Peptostreptococcaceae. The record is from RNAcentral.
AGCUCACUGGUCGAGUGAUCCUGCGCCGAAGAUUUCCGGGGCUAAAACUUACUACCGAAGCUACGGCAUCAGUAAUGAUGGGUAGGGGAGCUUCCCAUAUGGGUUGAAGCAUGACCGUAAGGACAUGUGGACAGUAUGGGAGUGAGAAUGUUGGCAUGAGUAGCGAGAUGUGGGUGAGAAUCCCACAGGCCGUAAACCCAAGGUUUCCAGGGGAAGGUUCGUCCGCCCUGGGUUAGUCGGGACCUAAGCUGAGG